RNAcentral lists this unclassified non-coding RNA (296 nucleotides) under uncultured fungus. Its description in RNAcentral is "partial contains 5.8S ribosomal RNA, internal transcribed spacer 2, and large subunit ribosomal RNA". The record is from RNAcentral. Lineage: Eukaryota; Fungi.
AACGCAAAUUGCACUCUCCGGUUUUCCGGGAGAGUAUGCCUGUUUGAGGGUCAGCCUAAAUAAAAUCGGCUUCGUUGCUGUGUUUUUUCGCGGUAAUGCUUGUCGGAAAUUGGGUCAUCUUAUUUUUUAAGUGGCUUAAAAUUUUUUACGAUUCUACGAACGUUUCUAAGAAUGUAUUUCUUUUUCACGUUCAAGGUAUCAUCCCUUAUAUUAGACGUGGCCGUCACAUCGGAUCCCGUCCAUAAAUAUUUUUCUUUUACUGACCUCAGACAGGUAAGAGUACCCGCUGAACUUAA